This 234-nucleotide ribosomal RNA is filed under the name uncultured bacterium. RNAcentral's name for it is "partial 16S ribosomal RNA". It matches the Rfam family "Bacterial small subunit ribosomal RNA", at positions 100 to 334 of the family's 1533-position model. The record is from RNAcentral.
CGGGACGGGUGAGUAAUGUCUGGGAAACGUGCCUGAUGGAGGGGGGUAACUACUGGAAACGGUAGCUAAUACCGCAUAACGUCGCAAGACCAAAGAGGGGGACCUUCGGGCCUCUUGCCAUCGGAUGUGCCCAGAUGGGAUUAGCUAGUAGGUGGGGUAAAGGCUCACCUAGGCGACGAUCCCUAGCUGGUCUGAGAGGAUGACCAGCCACACUGGAACUGAGACACGGUCCAG